GCAUAUCAAUAAGCGGAGGAAAAGAAACCAACAGGGNAUUGCCUUAGUAACGGCGAGUGAAGCGGCAAAAGCUCAAAUUUGAAAUCUAGCACUUUCAGUGUUCGAGUUGUAAUUUGAAGAAGGUAACUUUGGAAUUGGCUCUUGUCUAUGUUCCUUGGAACAGGACGUCACAGAGGGUGAGAAUCCCGUGCGAUGAGAUGUCCAAUUCUAUGUAAAGUGCUUUCGAAGAGUCGAGUUGUUUGGGAAUGCAGCUCUAAGUGGGUGGUAAAUUCCAUCUAAAGCUAAAUAUUGGCGAGAGACCGAUAGCGAACAAGUACAGUGAUGGAAAGAUGAAAAGAACUUUGAAAAGAGAGUGAAAAAGUACGUGAAAUUGUUGAAAGGGAAGGGCUUGAGAUCAGACUUGGUAUUUUGUGUUCCUUAUUCUUUUUGGAUUUGGUUCCUCACAGCUUACCGGGCCAGCAUCGGUUUGGAUGGUAGGAUAAUGACAUUGGAAUGUAGCUUUGCUUCGGUGAAGUGUUAUAGACUUUGUUGAUACUGCCUAUCUAGACCGAGGACUGCGUCUUUGACUAGGAUGCUGGCGUAAUGAUCUUAAGCCGCCCGUCUUGAAACACGGACCA
Molecule: ribosomal RNA, 617 nt
Filed under: Dujonia oleophila
Lineage: Eukaryota; Fungi; Ascomycota; Pichiomycetes; Serinales; Debaryomycetaceae
Description: eukaryotic LSU rRNA
Rfam family: Eukaryotic large subunit ribosomal RNA
Source: RNAcentral